Molecule: long non-coding RNA, 673 nt
Organism: Canis lupus familiaris (dog)
Lineage: Eukaryota; Metazoa; Chordata; Mammalia; Carnivora; Canidae
Exons: 4
Source: RefSeq, a predicted model, not a curated record
UAAAGGGAACCAGGCCACUGUGGGGCCAUAUAUCUGCCUCUCCAGGGCCACAUCUGCCUCUCUUGGGAGGCUCUCAACCGCAUGUCUUUUGGCUCCUGGGCAGACCCUGGUAGUGUCUGGGCAAGAGGCAGAUCUCCAGCCUCCUCAUCAACUGUUGGCUCUCUUCUUAACUCCAGGGACCCAGCAUUACAGGAAAGCUCGCCACUUCUGUAUUUCUACCAGUCAUGCCCCCAGAGGAAGCCCUUAGGCCUCACAGCCGCGUCUUCUAAUCGAGUUUACCUUCACUGUGAAGAGACUCUACAGUCUGCUGAGAGCUUUCUCCACCCAGGAAAGGUGUGUUUCUGCAGUGUUGACCUCGAUCCGGAACCCAGAUCUGUUUGUCCAGCAGCUUUCCCCACACCUGAGGCACUGACCAGGGGCCAACGCUACGGAGAGGGGAGGAGGGAUGAUACCCUUCCCAGGGAAUUUGUAAGGAUUAAAUGAGAUAAUUCACAUGCAGCGAGAUGGCCAGCUGGUGGCAAACACACAGAUGUGGAAACAGACACGUGGCUCUGUGACUUUGGUCUUCCCUCUGAGGUCUCUGCACUUUUACACAAAGGCUCACUCUGACCUCUCUCCUGCUGGACAGGGACCCCUUCAGCCCCUCAGGCUUGGAAAGAAAGGUAAGGAAGGA